Molecule: non-coding RNA, 46 nt
Organism: Tauraco erythrolophus (red-crested turaco)
Lineage: Eukaryota; Metazoa; Chordata; Aves; Musophagiformes; Musophagidae
Source: Rfam
AGCCAGGCUCUUCUCAGAGCCAUCCAAUGAUAGGACAAGGGGAAAU